This 253-nucleotide ribosomal RNA is filed under the name uncultured bacterium. RNAcentral describes it as "partial 16S ribosomal RNA". It matches the Rfam family "Bacterial small subunit ribosomal RNA", at positions 524 to 776 of the family's 1533-position model. The record is from RNAcentral.
UACGUAGGGACCGAGCGUUGUCCGGAUUCAUUGGGCGUAAAGAGCUCGUAGGCGGCUGCUCAAGUCGGAUGUGAAAGCCCCGGGCUCAACCUGGGAACUGCAUUCGAUACUGGGCGGCUAGAGUAUGAGAGAGGGAGGUAGAAUUCCACGUGUAGCGGUGAAAUGCGUAGAUAUGUGGAGGAAUACCGGUGGCGAAGGCGGCCUCCUGGUUCAAUACUGACGCUGAGGUGCGAAAGCGUGGGGAGCAAACAGG